RNAcentral lists this ribosomal RNA (1440 nucleotides) under 'Clarkia unguiculata' aster yellows phytoplasma. RNAcentral describes it as "bacterial SSU rRNA". It matches the Rfam family "Bacterial small subunit ribosomal RNA". The record is from RNAcentral. RNAcentral also lists the same sequence under 4 other names. Lineage: Bacteria; Bacillati; Mycoplasmatota; Mollicutes; Acholeplasmatales; Acholeplasmataceae.
UUUAGUGGCGAACGGGUGAGUAACGCGUAAGCAAUCUGCCCCUAAGACGAGGAUAACAGUUGGAAACGACUGCUAAGACUGGAUAGGAGACAAGAAGGCAUCUUCUUGUUUUUAAAAGACCUAGCAAUAGGUAUGCUUAGGGAGGAGCUUGCGUCACAUUAGUUAGUUGGUGGGGUAAAGGCCUACCAAGACUAUGAUGUGUAGCCGGGCUGAGAGGUUGAACGGCCACAUUGGGACUGAGACACGGCCCAAACUCCUACGGGAGGCAGCAGUAGGGAAUUUUCGGCAAUGGAGGAAACUCUGACCGAGCAACGCCGCGUGAACGAUGAAGUAUUUCGGUACGUAAAGUUCUUUUAUUAGGGAAGAAUAAAUGAUGGAAAAAUCAUUCUGACGGUACCUAAUGAAUAAGCCCCGGCUAACUAUGUGCCAGCAGCCGCGGUAAUACAUAGGGGGCAAGCGUUAUCCGGAAUUAUUGGGCGUAAAGGGUGCGUAGGCGGUUAAAUAAGUUUAUGGUCUAAGUGCAAUGCUCAACAUUGUGAUGCUAUAAAAACUGUUUAGCUAGAGUAAGAUAGAGGCAAGUGGAAUUCCAUGUGUAGUGGUAAAAUGCGUAAAUAUAUGGAGGAACACCAGUAGCGAAGGCGGCUUGCUGGGUCUUUACUGACGCUGAGGCACGAAAGCGUGGGGAGCAAACAGGAUUAGAUACCCUGGUAGUCCACGCCGUAAACGAUGAGUACUAAACGUUGGGUAAAACCAGUGUUGAAGUUAACACAUUAAGUACUCCGCCUGAGUAGUACGUACGCAAGUAUGAAACUUAAAGGAAUUGACGGGACUCCGCACAAGCGGUGGAUCAUGUUGUUUAAUUCGAAGGUACCCGAAAAACCUCACCAGGUCUUGACAUGCUUCUGCAAAGCUGUAGAAACACAGUGGAGGUUAUCAGUUGCACAGGUGGUGCAUGGUUGUCGUCAGCUCGUGUCGUGAGAUGUUGGGUUAAGUCCCGCAACGAGCGCAACCCUUAUUGUUAGUUACCAGCACGUAAUGGUGGGGACUUUAGCAAGACUGCCAGUGAUAAAUUGGAGGAAGGUGGGGACGACGUCAAAUCAUCAUGCCCCUUAUGACCUGGGCUACAAACGUGAUACAAUGGCUGUUACAAAGGGUAGCUGAAGCGCAAGUUUUUGGCGAAUCUCAAAAAAACAGUCUCAGUUCGGAUUGAAGUCUGCAACUCGACUUCAUGAAGUUGGAAUCGCUAGUAAUCGCGAAUCAGCAUGUCGCGGUGAAUACGUUCUCGGGGUUUGUACACACCGCCCGUCAAACCACGAAAGUUGGCAAUACCCAAAGCCGGCGGCCUAACUUCGCAAGAAGAGGGAACCGUCUAAGGUAGGGUCGAUGAUUGGGGUUAAGUCGUAACAAGGUAUCCCUACCGGAAGGUGGGGAUGGAUCACC